ACUCCUCAAAAGAACAACAACCCAAAAAUAAAAAUAAUCAGAGAGAUACAUAAAGAGAGACCUGUAGGAUUGACGACAAAAAUGAGGUCACGCCGGCGAGAGGAGGAAGACCCACUUCUGGAAACAGACCGCUCAACAAAGAGAUCAAGGGCUUUGAGAUUCUGGUGUUCAGCCAAUACAGAGAAAGAGGAGAGACGAAAGAAAAGGAGAAGAGAACGGGGAAGAGACAGACCGGAAGCUUUUGCUUAAAACAAGACAACUGGAAGGAAACAAAGAGGCAAGAAGCAGCCAACAUGGAGGAUCUUUUCCUUGAAGUAACUGCAUGCAACAAACAACUUCAAUUAUGACAACAAAUUUGGGAAAAGGAGGAUUUGAAAGUGUUUAUUGUUUUGGGAUGGAUCACAAUCUUUAUAAGAGAACCACUCAGAUACAAAAGAAAAGACGGCAAAUCAGAUUGUGUGUGUUUUGGAAAAGCAAAAAAUAUUAUCUGCACACGCUCACAAAAAAAACUUGGCUGACCAAAACAGAAUUAGCAGGAGGCUACCUGAAACUAAUCAAUUUACAUCUACAAGCUCCCAAAUUAAAAUUCCAUUGAUAGUCUGAGAGGAAGAUUUGACUAAAAUCAAAUACAAAAGGAGCGAAGCGCAAUAGAAUGGCUUUGAGGCUGAGUUUAUUUGAGGAUCUUCACUUACAAAGGUUGCUCUCUAGGAAAAGAGAGGAGACAAAACAACGAGAGAGAGGAGAACAGGGAAUAAGGAAAAGAAGCAUAAGAGGCGGAAAGUUGUUACUCAAAACAAAACAGUAAAUCCCGCAACAAAGCACGGGCAAAUAUUACUAGUAAAACUGAAGCAAGCAAAGCAAACAGGAAAAAGUUGAGAUACAAAAUAACUAGUGAUGAGAGAUGAAGCUGCAGGGCACAGGAGGAAGGCAUCUUAAUCUGAACAGAAAGUCAACGCGCAAACUAUAGAUGGUUGUAUACUAAGCAGGUAGCUUAUUAUGGUUGUGCAAGAUCUCCCGUUUGCAACAAGCCUGCACAAUACCUAAGCUGAUCUAAAGGAAUUAGCAGACCAAAGUUCUUUCUCAUAUUCCUCUUUUACUAAGGUUACUUAAGGUCAGCGCAUAUACAAAGAAUAGCUAGAUAGCCAAGCCUUAUUCUACAAAUAUAUGGAUAUUCCUUUCUAAGGUGCACUGAUACUUUUAUAUUAGUUGCUAUAUGUCCUAAUAUAUAGAAAACAGCUAGCUAAUAUGUAGUCUAUAUGGAUCGAAAAUUCAAAAUACAUAUUAUGUACACAAAAUCUUCUAGUUAGUUAUUUUGCUUUGUCAUAAUGUCAGUAACUCCACAAUGAAGAAGGUAACUAAUAUUAUGAACAAUAGACACACUGAUAUUUAUAUU
Molecule: long non-coding RNA, 1393 nt
Organism: Rosa chinensis
Lineage: Eukaryota; Viridiplantae; Streptophyta; Magnoliopsida; Rosales; Rosaceae
Exons: 7
Source: RefSeq, a predicted model, not a curated record